UAUUAUUUUAUAUGUAAAUAAUUUUCCUGAGUAGUAAUAGUUAAGGUCUUGAAACUCAAAGAAUUUGGCGGUGUUUCAUUCCAUUCAGAGGAAUCUGUUCCGUAAUUGAUAAUACACGAUUAUGUUUUACUUGAUCUAUUAAGUUUGUAUAUCGCCGUUAUCAGAUUAUGUUAUGAGGUAAUAAAAUUUCUUAUAUUUUUAUUAAAAUUAAUAUCAGGUCAAGGUGCAGCUUAUGAUUAAGAGGAGAUGGAUUACAAUAAAAUUAUUUAUUAUGGAUUUUAAAUUUAAGUUUGAGAUGAAGGUGGAUUUGAUUGUAAAUUGAUUUGAUAAUGAUAAAUUGAUUUUGGCUCUGAAAUGUGUACAUAUCGCCCGUCGCUCUCAUUAUAAGGUGAG
This 393-nucleotide ribosomal RNA is filed under the name Hemigryllus sp. FGu. RNAcentral describes it as "partial 12S ribosomal RNA". It matches the Rfam family "Microsporidia small subunit ribosomal RNA", at positions 752 to 1218 of the family's 1311-position model. Lineage: Eukaryota; Metazoa; Arthropoda; Insecta; Orthoptera; Trigonidiidae. The record is from RNAcentral.